This 253-nucleotide ribosomal RNA is filed under the name uncultured bacterium. RNAcentral's name for it is "partial 16S ribosomal RNA". It matches the Rfam family "Bacterial small subunit ribosomal RNA", at positions 524 to 776 of the family's 1533-position model. The record is from RNAcentral.
UACGUAGGGUGCAAGCGUUAAUCGGAAUUACUGGGCGUAAAGCGUGCGCAGGCGGUUUUGUAAGACAGGCGUGAAAUCCCCGGGCUCAACCUGGGAAUUGCGCUUGUGACUGCAAGGCUGGAGUACGGCAGAGGGGGAUGGAAUUCCGCGUGUAGCAGUGAAAUGCGUAGAUAUGCGGAGGAACACCAAUGGCGAAGGCAAUCCCCUGGGCCUGUACUGACGCUCAUGCACGAAAGCGUGGGGAGCAAACAGG